UACAGAGGUCUCAAGCGUUGUUCGGAUUCAUUGGGCGUAAAGGGUGCGUAGGCGGCGCGGUAAGUCGGGUGUGAAAUCUCGGAGCUUAACUCCGAAACUGCAUUCGAUACUGCCGUGCUUGAGGACUGGAGAGGAGACUGGAAUUUACGGUGUAGCGGUGAAAUGCGCAGAUAUCAGGAGGAACACCAAUAGCGAAGGCAGCUCGCUGGGACGGUACUGACGCUGAGGCGCGAAAGCGUGGGGAGCGAACAGG
Molecule: ribosomal RNA, 253 nt
Filed under: uncultured bacterium
Lineage: Bacteria
Description: partial 16S ribosomal RNA
Rfam family: Bacterial small subunit ribosomal RNA
Source: RNAcentral